Long non-coding RNA from Arachis stenosperma, 369 nucleotides. RefSeq lists it as uncharacterized. Lineage: Eukaryota; Viridiplantae; Streptophyta; Magnoliopsida; Fabales; Fabaceae. The record is from RefSeq and is a predicted model, not a curated record. The transcript is spliced from 3 exons.
GAAGAAUGUGACCGCCAUUUGUUUAAGCCGCUACAAAUUGAAGCGUUUAACAGUGGUCAAGAAUCGAGUCCACUAUUCAGGAUGUUUUAAGAGAUCUCAAUUCUAGUGUAUUUAAAGAUAUACAACGAUGGAUUUUGGAGUUCUUCAAUGCUGCUAGAUUGCAUGGAGAACCUAGUAUCACAAAAGCAACUCGAUCCUUUCCUAUUCUGAGUAAUGCUACUCCUGCUCAACUGUCCACUGCAUUGGUUAUUACCGGAAAUAUAGAAUUUGUCGAUGAUAUAUUGACCUUUGAAGAGCUCGGCCAUUUCUUGAAAUCCCAUGGAUGCCAUGUAGCCAUUUCUUCGGUGGAUUUUUCAAUGAAAAACGGAA